UAACCACAGGAUAUCCACAGCCAUGAAUUUAUGGAGUACAUAGCAAUGAAAUAUCAGUAAGCAGAUAUUAUUACCUUGAGUUGUGGAAAAAGGAAUAUCCUGUGGGGGUAAAGGAUGAGAAAGCUACCUGCAACUAUUCAUUAGGCCUUCAGCUUUCUGUUCCUUAAACCCAUAACACAAGAGGAAAUCAAAAGGAACUGCAUGGGGCUCAGCCUUUCUGAAAAAUCAAGUUUCAGAUGCAACUCAGACUCAAGAUUCAGGUUUGCUCUCUCUUGAUGGAAAUCAUAACAUUAGGAUAUUGGACUAUGGAGAACAGGAGAUGGAGUCCCUGAGAAAAUGUGGUAAAAGCUUUUAACCUGCAGUAAACUGCCUCCAUCUCCAACUGCUAUCGUUUUCACUCUCCCCAGUUCCUUGCUGACCUUCCAGCAACACCAGCUUGCCUCUUUCUAAACCAUAUGCUGAAGCCUACUGCCUCCACAGUUCAUUUGCCCACUGGACCCUUGUCCUUAAAUCUGUGGCCCUGUGACUGUUGCCCUGGGUCCUAACAAAAAUUUACAAAAACAUUAAAGGAUAUUUUUAUACCAUUUCCAGAGGUAUUGUUUAAAGGGCACUCCACCAGAAAACUGAUCUAAAAAAAUCAGUCCCUUUUAAUGACCUGGCAAGAUGAAGUUCACACUACUGAUGUUAUUCUCACAGUCUCUCUGCAGAGUCAGGAAAACAGUGCAUUGGUUACCAUUUCCAGGUUAUCUUGGCAAACAAGAGAGUUAAAGACUUUCAUUAUUUUGAAAAUAAAAGGCUACAUUUUAGAGAAUGGGAAGCCCCUAAAUUCAUGGAUGAGCCACACCUACAAAUUUAUAAUCCAAGCUAUAAUUUUACCAAACAAAGGCCAUGUGAUGUAUUUAUCAUGAUAUAUAUGGUAGUUUAAGAGUCCUAGACUUAUUCAAAAGGAUUAAUGGGGAUAGCAUAUCCUCAGGCAGGCUAUAUUUACAGCAGUCUUACUAGCAGAUAUUUUCUACAAGUAAACAAAAUAAAGAU
This is a long non-coding RNA of Mauremys reevesii (Reeves's turtle), 1035 nucleotides long. RefSeq lists it as uncharacterized. NCBI's taxonomy places the organism in Eukaryota, Metazoa, Chordata, Testudines, Geoemydidae. The record is from RefSeq and is a predicted model, not a curated record. The transcript is spliced from 3 exons.